RNAcentral lists this long non-coding RNA (1291 nucleotides) under Triticum aestivum (bread wheat). Its description in RNAcentral is "long non-coding RNA (TAES_LNC004142)". Lineage: Eukaryota; Viridiplantae; Streptophyta; Magnoliopsida; Poales; Poaceae. The record is from RNAcentral.
UUAUUUCAGUUAUGCUUAUGGAUCGAUGUUUACCAUCAUGUUUUCUUGCACUCUGUUAUUAUGUUCUGGAUGCUAGUAUUACGUUAAUAUUGGCAAUGCUUGGUAAUAGUACAUGUUGGUGAUAGUCUUUGGUGCAUGACUGUUGUUUGUCCCGAGUACCGUUGUUAUGCAUGUUCCUUUGCACCCAGUUGGUUAAAUGCUUGCAUGGUAGUUUAUCAUUAUGUUAUUACAUGGUAUUUAUUGUUGAUUCUAGUGGUCAUGUUAUGCUAUGAGUAGUGUUCUAGUUGUGAUAUUCACGCUCGUCAGUAUGCCAUGCUCAUCUGGAUAAAUGAUUAAAUGAUGUUGUUAUGCUCGUUGAUCAAGUUGCACCUCCUUAUUUUGAUAUCAUGUUCAUGCAUCAUGUUAUUUUAUCAUGGCUCAGCAUAUUGCAUUCAAGUUUAACCGGAUUAAAUUGAACUUGAACAAUUGUUGGCUGAGUCAUGGUGCCUCCAUAUCGAUCUGACCAGUGCAACCACGCUUACCCUAUGGGGGUCCUAACUGGGUCUGUUGUCAUGUCUCUCACCGGUGCCUCCCGCGAGGGAAGUUUAUGCACGGGCGCUACCCUGAUCAGGUAGGACGGCAUAAGCCUUGUGUGCCCGUUGUUAAGUAUGGAUCCUUGUCCCUGUUUGGGACCGUUUUGCCACGACGGUGGCCGUUGGUGCCUUUGGUAGGCACAGGGACACCCAGGACUUAGCCCAAAGGGGAGUUGGUCAGAGUGGCCGGGAGAGUGUCAUGGCAGUAGGAUGGUUUUGUCAGAACACUUUGGUCCACCCGAAUGGGAGUGACAGGCCAGGGUUCCGUGGUGUGGGUACAGUGUGCUAACCUCUGCAGAGUGUGUGUGUUAAAUCUAACGAUAGCCACGCCUGCGGAUAUGGGCCCAGCUCGUAGUUGGUCACACUAUGGGUCAACAGUAAUAAUAAUGUGCUUAAUAACAACGCCGGUUCGAUGAUGAAAGAAGUUGGUUGAUAUUUAUGUGAUCGUAAGAGGAUCACGGUGGUAUUGUGAAUACCGACUCAUUGGAUAUUUGUGGUGUUAUGUGAGAGUCAAGGGUAAAACUCAAGCUCCUUGUGGUCAUAAAUGAUUACUACGGUAUUGUUAAUACCAAGCUUGAUUGGAUCCUGAGAUGAUCGUGUGAUGUCCGUGAUGGUAAGUUUGUGCAGGUGAUGGUUACGAGAUAACCCGAGCAGAGUAAGUUGGUGCAUGAAAGUUUCAUCAUGUUGCAUGCUAGUCUCAUCAUGUUAAUUUGUUUAUG